CUGAUCACCGAAGUCAAGCAUCAUUGGGCACGGUCAGUACUUGGGUGGGUGACCACCUGGGAACACCGCGUGCCGUU
Caerostris extrusa is the source of this 77-nucleotide non-coding RNA. The record is from the annotation of a GenBank genome assembly. NCBI's taxonomy places the organism in Eukaryota, Metazoa, Arthropoda, Arachnida, Araneae, Araneidae.